GAUGAACGCUGGCGGCGUGCCUAAUACAUGCAAGUCGAGCGAACAGAUGAGGAGCUUGCUCCUCUUACGUUAGCGGCGGACGGGUGAGUAACACGUGGAUAACCUACCUAGAAGACUGGGAUAACUUCGGGAAACCGGAGCUAAUACCGGAUAAUAUAUUGAACCGCAUGGUUCAAUAGUGAAAGACGGUUUUGCUGUCACUUAUAGAUGGAUCCGCGCCGCAUUAGCUAGUUGGUAAGGUAACGGCUUACCAAGGCAACGAUGCGUAGCCGACCUGAGAGGGUGAUCAGCCACACUGGAACUGAGACACGGUCCAGACUCCUACGGGAGGCAGCAGUAGGGAAUCUUCCGCAAUGGGCGAAAGCCUGACGGAGCAACGCCGCGUGAGUGAUGAAGGUCUUCGGAUCGUAAAACUCUGUUAGUAGGGAAGAACGAAUGUGUAAGUAACUAUGCACGUCUUGACGGUACCUAAUCAGAAAGCCACGGCUAACUACGUG
Molecule: ribosomal RNA, 497 nt
Filed under: uncultured bacterium
Lineage: Bacteria
Description: partial 16S ribosomal RNA
Rfam family: Bacterial small subunit ribosomal RNA
Source: RNAcentral